Non-coding RNA from Pelobates cultripes (western spadefoot toad), 584 nucleotides. The record is from the annotation of a GenBank genome assembly. Lineage: Eukaryota; Metazoa; Chordata; Amphibia; Anura; Pelobatidae.
AGACUGUACUCUGUAUGUGACCAUCUGUAACAGUGUCUUCGUGUGUGUGUGUGUCUGAGACUGUACUGUGUGUGUGACUGUCUGCCUGUGUGUGAGACUGUACUUUGUGUGUGACCGUCUGUAACAGUGUCUGACUGUGUGUGUGUGUGUGUGAGACUGUACUCUGUGUGUGACUGUCUGCCUGUGUAACUGUGCCUGACUAUAUGCCUUUUUGUGUGACUGUAACCAGGACCGGUCUUUGGGGUGUGCGAGCUGUGCGGCUGCACAAGGUGCCCUGGCAACAGGGAUGCCAGGUGGCGACACAGCUCACAGUCGGUCACUCACAAACCGGCCCGAAUUGGAAUGCAGGAGGAGCGUGGGGGUGCGACGUUGGAAGGAUCUGUUCAGUGGGUGUCAGGGCGGCAGGUGCUCUUCAGUCGGCGCGUCAGACAGAGUGGGAAAAACUGACAGCUGGAUACAGGGAGCAGCAGCCUUUAAUGUAAGUGUUUGUCCUUAUUGCUUUUUUUUUUUAAUAUAACAAUUGCAUUUUAUUGAAGCGGGCAGGGGGCUAGUGAUAAGUGGGCAGGGGGCUAGUGAUAAAGGGG